CAGUCGCCGCGGGAAUACGAAGGGGGCUAGCGUUGUUCGGAUUUACUGGGCGUAAAGGGCGCGUAGGCGGACUGAUAAGUCAGGGGUGAAAUCCCAAGGCUCAACCUUGGAACUGCCUUUGAUACUGUUUGUCUUGAGUUCGAGAGAGGUAAGUGGAACUGCGAGUGUAGAGGUGAAAUUCGUAGAUAUUCGCAAGAACACCAGUGGCGAAGGCGGCUUACUGGCUCGAAACUGACGCUGAGGCGCGAAAGCGUGGGGAGCAAACAGGAUUAGUACCCCCGUAGUCCCUGUCUCUUAUACA
This 301-nucleotide ribosomal RNA is filed under the name uncultured bacterium. Its description in RNAcentral is "partial 16S ribosomal RNA". It matches the Rfam family "Bacterial small subunit ribosomal RNA", at positions 509 to 808 of the family's 1533-position model. The record is from RNAcentral.